Molecule: ribosomal RNA, 497 nt
Filed under: uncultured bacterium
Lineage: Bacteria
Description: partial 16S ribosomal RNA
Rfam family: Bacterial small subunit ribosomal RNA
Source: RNAcentral
GAUGAACGCUGGCGGCGUGCCUAAUACAUGCAAGUCGAGCGAACGGACGAGAAGCUUGCUUCUCUGAUGUUAGCGGCGGACGGGUGAGUAACGCGUGGAUAACCUACCUAUAAGACUGGGAUAACUUCGGGAAACCGUAGCUAAUACCGGAUAAUAUUUUGAACCGCAUGGUUCAAAAGUGAAAGACGGUCUUGCUGUCACUUAUAGAUGGAUCCGCGCUGCAUUAGCUAGUUGGUAAGGUAACGGCUUACCAAGGCAACGAUGCAUAGCCGACCUGAGAGGGUGAUCGGCCACACUGGAACUGAGACACGGUCCAGACUCCUAAGGGAGGCAGCAGUAGGGAAUCUUCCGCAAUGGGCGAAAGCCUGACGGAGCAACGCCGCGUGAGUGAUGAAGGUCUUCGGAUCGUAAAACUCUGUUAUUAGGGAAGAACAUAUGUGUAAGUAACUGUGCACAUCUUGACGGUACCUAAUCAGAAAGCCACGGCUAACUACGUG